RNAcentral lists this long non-coding RNA (2739 nucleotides) under Linum usitatissimum (flax). RNAcentral's name for it is "long non-coding RNA (LUSI_LNC006049)". Lineage: Eukaryota; Viridiplantae; Streptophyta; Magnoliopsida; Malpighiales; Linaceae. The record is from RNAcentral.
UAAUAGCUUCGAAGCAGCCAUUGUUAACUGAGCUUUCAGGGUCUGGGAAGUACUAGUGUUAAAAGAGGUAUGUUUACUUUGCUUCCAUUAUGCAUACAUAUAUAGUCCCACACCUAAAUCAUGUGAAGUGGUGAAAGGUAUGGAAAACCGCGUCUUGAGAAUAAAUGGUGUUAACUUAUCGAUUGAGAGAGAGGUGGCAAUAUUGAAAGAGCAAGUUGAUGGGAGAGAGCAAGUGGGUAUAGUAGUUUUUGUCAGAUGAGUGUGUUUCUGUAUUUGGAGUUUGCUGUAGACUUUACCAUUAUUCCUUUCUUUAACAGGUGGGGGUAGUAGUCUAAUAGAUUAACAAUAUACCGACAGUCCACAAUUGGAAAUUGAUGAUCUUGGUUUAAUGUGCACUGCUCUAAAUUUCAGAUUUGCCAAGCAGAUUGGAGCUGAGACAAAGGCAAAGUCAAAUGAAUGGAGUCCAGCACAGCAGGAGCAGAGUAAAGUAGCUAGAGAGUGCAGAGAUUGGAGUUUUUCUCCUCUUUCGUCUGCGUUGAUGUCCUUAUGCUUUGUGGGGACUGGUUUUCUGCCUAUGUCGUGACAGUGACGGCACCAAACUAAAGCAUCAUCACUACUAAGGUACAACCUUCCCUCUUUUCCCUUUCGUCUUUUGUUUUUGUCCCGACUGAGAUCUCAUAUAUUCAUUCAAUCACCUAGGCCGGUUUGACGAGUUUCAACGUUGAAUUAGCAAACCAAAACUUAUCUAGCUAGCUAUCAUCGUAGCUCUAGAUAAGAUGAUCAACAGCGGCCCUAGAUUUCAACUAGUUCGAUAAAAUGAUAGGAUGAUGAUCUGGUGGUUGGAAUAACUAGUUCCAUAAUGUGCUGGAAACUUAGGGAAGCGCCGCUAACAUCCACCAGGCAUUCCUACUUACCUAAUCCAAUUCCAGGAGUCUAGUUUUGACUAACCCAUGCAUAAUACUCCAUUGCCUGGCUUAGUACGUAGAUUGUAUUAAAUUAAGAGGGGGAAUGCAUUGCAUUGGUACCAACGUGCUUAUUGGUAAAAGUCAACUAACAUCAAGACGGAAAUUAGUAUAUCAUCUAUACUAAUCGUUCGAUUUAAGAAUAUGGACUUCCCUCUUACUUCUCUGCUUCUCAAUUUCUAUCGUCGUUGGAAUCUAAUUGACGAACCAAUAAAUCAACGGUUGAACCAGGCCACCGAUACUUUGAUUGGAAUACUAUUAGGAUGGGUUUGGAUAGGUGUAUUUGGAUGAGAUUUAAUCAAAAUUUAAUGUUUGAAAAAUCAUAAUUAAUAAUUGAUUAUCUUGAUUUUCAUUUCAAUGGUGGUGGAAGUCUCCAUCUGUAAAAAAAUGUUAUGGAAACCAAGGCCCAGUUACCACAUGGCCUAUAAUUUUUAGUCUUGACUUUUCCAUACAUAAUAAAUUUCCCAAUUUAAAUUAAUCAAAGAAUAUUAUAUUCAACAAGUACAUAAGAAAAAAAAUAGAAAAUAAUAAGUCUUAACUCACUCAAUCAAAAGUCAAAUCGACGACUUGGCACCGGCACCGGCACCGGCACCGGCACCGGCACCCUAUUGGGCUUAACCAAUGCUCCUGUCGGUGACCCAAUACCAACCGGCCCAGCCCAAACUAAACAAUUUCUUAAUUACAAAUUGACUCAUUUUCACUACCAUCUAUCAAUUGGUUAGACCAGCUGUGAACUUAACUCCGGUAGCCGGAAGCCAAGACCUCCCGUCGAUGAAGUUCCCCACUGUGAACAACUUCGCCGUCCCUACAUCUUUAAUAACGUGAUACCCGGGCCACUUAACCCGACCGGACACCGCCCCACCCGGCCCGUAGUUCCUAUACUCACCAUACCACAAUGUCCCCAACCCAAAGCUACCGUACCACUCAAGCCACCCUCUAGACUGGACAAGGCCACUCAUGUAUGUGUUCAUGUACACCGUCCUUGAGUACUCCUUCCACGGACGACCUAGAUAGCACGGCUGGGUCGCGUAGACGAAGCUGUCCUGGAUCGAAAAUCCUGUGCUCUGGUGAGGGUUCUUCCUCCCCUGAGCAGUGAUGGUCACCUUCUGUUGCGGUAAGGGCACUCGCGUGUAGAUCUUGCAGUUUUGGAACACGGCAGCACCGUUCCCGAAGAUGUAGUCUAUCGUCCCGUAGAUUUCACACUCGCGGUAGAAUUGUCGGAGCGAGUGGGCGUAGAGGGUGUCUUGGUAGCCUUCCAUACUGCACCGGUAGAAUGCUGAUUGGUCCGAGUCGACUCGUAAGGCCACUGCUUGAUGGUUCUCGGGGCCUGCCGUGUUGCGGAAUGUCAUGUCCCUUGCUAUGAAUCCUUUCCCCGAAACCGCUACAGGAAGAAAGUCGGUUAAAAACUUGUUCGGUCAAAACAAUCUCAAAACCUUAACAGACUGACCGACCUAAUUAUUUCAAAUUAACUAAUUAACUGAUCAAAGGUGCUCGGUUAAUCAAGUUUAACCAUUAAGCAUAACUGAAUGUCCAUCCCUGUUAAUAACUUGUUAACUUACCAACUGUGGCGGUUCUGAAAGUGGUCCAUCCCUGCAUGAAGUUGCGGUUUCCUGUAAUGAUAGUUUUCCCGAUACCUUCUCCGACGAACAUUACAUUUGUCUUCUUCUUCUUCAUGUCUAUGUUCUCAUGGUAGAUUCCUUUCUUGAUGAAGAUAACGUACCGACUGUUACUAUGGGGCGGAACUCGGUCGACAGCGUCGGCAAUGCUUCUGAAAUGG